This 623-nucleotide ribosomal RNA is filed under the name Geosmithia lavendula. Its description in RNAcentral is "eukaryotic LSU rRNA". It matches the Rfam family "Eukaryotic large subunit ribosomal RNA", at positions 1 to 649 of the family's 3401-position model. The record is from RNAcentral. Lineage: Eukaryota; Fungi; Ascomycota; Sordariomycetes; Hypocreales; Bionectriaceae.
UUGACCUCGGAUCAGGUAGGAAUACCCGCUGAACUUAAGCAUAUCAAUAAGCGGAGGAAAAGAAACCAACAGGGAUUGCCUCAGUAACGGCGAGUGAAGCGGCAACAGCUCAAAUUUGAAAUCUGGCCCCCAGGCCCGAGUUGUAAUUUGUAGAGGAUGAUUCUGGCGACGCGCCUUCCGAGUUCCCUGGAACGGGACGCCAUAGAGGGUGAGAGCCCCGUCCGGUCGUGCGCCUAGCCUCUGUGAAUCUCCUUCGACGAGUCGAGUAGUUUGGGAAUGCUGCUCUAAAUGGGAGGUAUACGUCUUCUAAAGCUAAAUACCGGCCAGAGACCGAUAGCGCACAAGUAGAGUGAUCGAAAGAUGAAAAGCACUUUGAAAAGAGGGUUAAAAAGUACGUGAAAUUGCUGAAAGGGAAGCGCUUAUGACCAGACUUGGGCGUGGUGAAUCAUCCGGCGUUCUCGCCGGUGCACUUUGCCUGUCCAGGCCAGCAUCAGUUCUCCCCGGGGGAUAAAGGCUUCGGGAAUGUAGCUCCUUCGGGAGUGUUAUAGACCGUUGCGUAAUACCCUGGGGGGGACUGAGGUACGCGUUCUGCAAGGAUGCUGGCGUAAUGGUCAUCAGUGACC